AGAGUUUGAUCCUGGCUCAGGAUGAACGCUAGCUACAGGCUUAACACAUGCAAGUCGAGGGGAAACGACAUCGAAAGCUUGCUUUUGAUGGGCGUCGACCGGCGCACGGGUGAGUAACGCGUAUCCAACCUGCCCACCACUUGGGGAUAACCUUGCGAAAGUAAGACUAAUACCCAAUGAUAUCUCUAGAAGACAUCUGAAAGAGAUUAAAGAUUUAUCGGUGAUGGAUGGGGAUGCGUCUGAUUAGCUUGUUGGCGGGGUAACGCCACCAAGGCUACGAUCAGUAGGGUUCUGAGAGGAACGGUCCCCANAUUGGAACUGAGACACGGUCCAAACUCCGUACGGGAGGCA
RNAcentral lists this ribosomal RNA (351 nucleotides) under uncultured bacterium. Its description in RNAcentral is "bacterial SSU rRNA". It matches the Rfam family "Bacterial small subunit ribosomal RNA", at positions 8 to 350 of the family's 1533-position model. The record is from RNAcentral.